Molecule: ribosomal RNA, 229 nt
Filed under: uncultured bacterium
Lineage: Bacteria
Description: partial 16S ribosomal RNA
Rfam family: Bacterial small subunit ribosomal RNA
Source: RNAcentral
UGAGCAAUCUGCCCUUCUCUUCGGAAUAAGCGUUGGAAACGACGUCUAAUGCCGAAUACGACCUCCUUUCACAUGAUCGGAGGUGGAAAGCUCCGGCGGAGAAGGAUGAGCUCGCGGCCUAUCAGCUAGUUGGUGUGGGUAAUGGCCCACCAAGGCGACGACGGGUAGCUGGUCUGAGAGGAUGGCCAGCCACAUUGGGACUGAGACACGGCCCAGACCUCUACGGGAG